RNAcentral lists this long non-coding RNA (202 nucleotides) under Drosophila guanche. Lineage: Eukaryota; Metazoa; Arthropoda; Insecta; Diptera; Drosophilidae. The record is from RNAcentral.
CCCGCUCUCACACUCACGCCAACAGUGAAUAACAACUGUUAAUUCUAAACAAAUGUUAACGCUUAACAGUCAUGUAAAUGUGUGGGAAGCAACGAUAAAACGCGAACAGGGUGACCAAGGGCAUUGCAUUUUUAAAAUUUCCCCAUUGAAAUUGGAAAUUGGGUAUACAUAGGUCGACACCACCGGCUGACAUUCAACAAGU